AGUGAACGCUGGCGGUAGGCCUAACACAUGCAAGUCGAACGGCAGCACAGUAAGAGCUUGCUCUUACGGGUGGCGAGUGGCGGACGGGUGAGGAAUACAUCGGAAUCUACUUUUUCGUGGGGGAUAACGUAGGGAAACUUACGCUAAUACCGCAUACGACCUACGGGUGAAAGCAGGGGAUCUUCGGACCUUGCGCGAUUGAAUGAGCCGAUGUCGGAUUAGCUAGUUGGCGGGGUAAAGGCCCACCAAGGCGACGAUCCGUAGCUGGUCUGAGAGGAUGAUCAGCCACACUGGAACGGAGACACGGUCCAGACUCCUACGGGAGGCAGCAGUGGGGAAUAUUGGACAAUGGGCGCAAGCCUGAUCCAGCCAUACCGCGUGGGUGGAGAAGGCCUUCGGGUUGUAAAGCCCUUUUGUUGGGAAAGAAAAGCAGCAGGUUAAUACCCCGCUGUUCUGACGGUACCCAAAGAAUAAGCACCGGCUAACUUCGUG
This 492-nucleotide ribosomal RNA is filed under the name uncultured bacterium. Its description in RNAcentral is "partial 16S ribosomal RNA". It matches the Rfam family "Bacterial small subunit ribosomal RNA", at positions 29 to 507 of the family's 1533-position model. The record is from RNAcentral.